Molecule: ribosomal RNA, 255 nt
Filed under: Klebsiella aerogenes
Lineage: Bacteria; Pseudomonadati; Pseudomonadota; Gammaproteobacteria; Enterobacterales; Enterobacteriaceae
Description: partial 16S ribosomal RNA
Rfam family: Bacterial small subunit ribosomal RNA
Source: RNAcentral
GGAGGCAGCAGUGGGGAAUAUUGCACAAUGGGCGCAAGCCUGAUGCAGCCAUGCCGCGUGUAUGAAGAAGGCCUUCGGGUUGUAAAGUACUUUCAGCGAGGAGGAAGGCGUUAAGGUUAAUAACCUUGGCGAUUGACGUUACUCGCAGAAGAAGCACCGGCUAACUCCGUGCCAGCAGCCGCGGUAAUACGGAGGGUGCAAGCGUUAAUCGGAAUUACUGGGCGUAAAGCGCACGCAGGCGGUCUGUCAAGUCGG